RNAcentral lists this ribosomal RNA (492 nucleotides) under uncultured bacterium. RNAcentral's name for it is "partial 16S ribosomal RNA". It matches the Rfam family "Bacterial small subunit ribosomal RNA", at positions 30 to 523 of the family's 1533-position model. The record is from RNAcentral.
AUUGAACGCUGGCGGCAUGCUUUACACAUGCAAGUCGAACGGUAACAGGUUAAGCUGACGAGUGGCGAACGGGUGAGUAAUGCAUCGGAACGUGCCCGAUCGUGGGGGAUAACGUAGCGAAAGUUACGCUAAUACCGCAUACGAUCUGAGGAUGAAAGCGGGGGACCGUAAGGCCUCGAGCGAUCGGAGCGGCCGAUGUCAGAUUAGGUAGUUGGUGGGGUAAAGGCCCACCAAGCCGACGAUCUGUAGCUGGUCUGAGAGGACGACCAGCCACACUGGGACUGAGACACGGCCCAGACUCCUACGGGAGGCAGCAGUGGGGAAUUUUGGACAAUGGGCGCAAGCCUGAUCCAGCAAUGCCGCGUGCAGGAAGAAGGCCUUCGGGUUGUAACUGCUUUUGUACGGAGCGAAAAGGCUCUCUCUAAUACAGGGGGCUCAUGACGGUACCGUAAGAAUAAGCACCGGCUAACUACGUGCCAGCCGCCGCCGUAA